GAUGAAGAACGUAGUGAAAUGCGAUAAGUAGUGUGAAUUGCAGAAUUCAGUGAAUCAUCGAAUCUUUGAACGCACAUUGCGCCCCUUGGUAUUCCAUGGGGCAUGCCUGUUCGAGCGUCAUUUGUACCUUCAAGCUUUGCUUGGUGUUGGGUGUUUGUCCUGAGGGACUCGCCUUAAAGUAAUUGGCAGCCAGUGUUUGGUUUUGAAGCGCAGCACAAGUCGCGAUUCAAAGCUAUACGCCCGCUUCCACAAGCCUUUUUCACUUUUGACCUCGGAUCAGGUAGGGAUACCCGCUGAACUUAAGCAUAUCAAUAAGCGGAGGA
This 323-nucleotide unclassified non-coding RNA is filed under the name soil metagenome. RNAcentral describes it as "partial contains 5.8S ribosomal RNA, internal transcribed spacer 2, and large subunit ribosomal RNA". The stretch from base 1 to 120 matches the Rfam family "5.8S ribosomal RNA", at positions 35 to 154 of the family's 154-position model. The record is from RNAcentral.